This is a long non-coding RNA of Cyprinus carpio (common carp), 1559 nucleotides long. NCBI's taxonomy places the organism in Eukaryota, Metazoa, Chordata, Actinopteri, Cypriniformes, Cyprinidae. The record is from Ensembl.
GAUAUGCAGAGGCAAAAGCUCGUAAAUAUGGUCUGCUUGGUGGAGGUGCUGCUUUAGGCCCAGGCACUGGAUUAGCUGCAGGUAUUCCAGGUGUAUUACCAGGCACUGGUGUCAGAAUAGUUGGGGCAGGGGGUAUACCCUGGCAUGGAUUAAUGCACAGGCUUGCAUAGGCUGCAGCCUAGGGGCCCCACGUGUGCAGGGGGCCUCGGAUUGGCCAGACAUUUUUUUUUUACUUAAGCGCGAACCAGGCAUGGCACGGCGCAUCAUUCCAGUUUCCAGUUUGGAUGGGCCAGACAAAUUGUGAAUGUUAAAUUUAAAACGUUAUCCAAUCACUGUUUAACCUAAUAAAAAUUACUGACUAAUAUACUGUUAAAUUAUCUGUGAGUAUACAUAAUAUAGAUUUUAAUAGCUUGAUGCUCUUUAAAUAUUUUGUUGCAUUGUAAAAAGUUUCGGUGCAUAGGACGGACCUAUCCGCAAUCGCUUUCCAUGGUUCUGACCAAAGAAGAGCGCUUUGGAAUCUCCAUUACCCAUCAUACCUGGGCUGCGUUUCCCGAUAACGCUGUCUCUUAGUGCGCUAUGAAGACUCUUAAGGUAUAACUUAACUAAAGGUAUACUACCACUAAAGGUAUACCAUUGCUAGGUGUCUUCAGGGCUAUCAUCCACUUGCGAGGCAGAGGCGCUCUCCUAGCAACGGCACUGGUCGCGUUAGCACCCUGGGGUGGCAGAGACGAAGAUGUGCUAGGUGAUGUGGAUCUCAGCUCUCUUCAUCUCCUGGUUGCAGCGAUGACUCUGAGACUGUACGUGCGCGUUUAAGGAUACUCUGGGGCCAAAGCUCGCAAAUAUGGUAGGGGUAGGUUAAAUAAUCUACAAAGUUUAGUAUCCAUGUAGAAAAAUACAAAUUAUAAAUUAUAUUUUAUCUAUACAUUUUGAAAAAGGGGUUACUGGUGGAGCUGGGGGAACAGGUGGACCAAAGGCCCUAAAAUAUGGUAGGAUAUUUUAAACCAAUUUGUUCAUCAUCUCAUUUUUUCAUCCCCCUCAUUCAUUUUAAUCCAUAUGUAGGUCCUGGUGGUAGUGGAGGUGCUCCAGGACUUGGACUUGGCACAGGGGCAGGGCCAGUUGGUGGUUAUGGUCCAGGGACUGUAGGAGGUCCCGGGUCUGGAUUUGCAGGACCAGGACUUCCUGGUAGUGCUGUUGGAGCAGGAAGCAGAGGAGGGUUUGGGCCUGGUUAUGGAACAGGUGCUGGAGAUAAUUUAAACCAGAUAUGGACCUGGAUCAAAAGCAGUAAAUAUGGUUUACCUGGAUCUGGAGGUGUCUUUGGAGCAGGAGCUGUACCAGGAUUGGUAGGAGGUCCUGGCGGUAUGUGAAGCUGACAUGAAGCUGAUUUUUUUCUUUUUUCUGUUAAAGGGACAGUCCAUCAAAAAAAAUUAAAAUUUUGUCUCACCCUCAUGCGAGAAAUGUCUCAGUGCUGUUGAUUUGUUUUUGUUUUGUUUUGUUUUUUGGCCAUACUGUACAAUUAAAAUUAAAAUAAAAUAAAAUAAUUAAAAUAAAUAAAUAAAUAC